UUUUUUUCAUUUCAGUUGCUGUGCUUUUCAACUCCAGAAUUUCUAUUUUAUUCUUUUUUUAUGAUGUUAAACUGUUUAUUGAUAUUGUAUAUUUAGUUGAGAAUAUAUUGUUCUCACACUCUUCUUUAGUUCUUUCAACAUGGUUUUCUUUAGAUUUUUUGAAAUAUUUAUCAAAGCUGGUUUAAUUCCUUUGUCUAGUAAGUCUAAUGUCUGGUAUUCCUGAGGGUCAGUUUUUAUUGACUUUUCCCUCUUAUAUAUAUAUGGGUCAUACUUUUCUUUUUUCUUUGUUGGGGUGCCCGGAUGGCUUAGUCAGUUGAGCAGCUGAAUUUUUGUUUCGGCUCAGGUCAUGAUCUCAGGGUCAUGAACUGAGCCCCAUGGUGGGCUCCACACUCAGCAGGGAGUCCACUUGCAAGUCUCCUCUUUCUGCCCCUCUUUCUGCUCACAGGCACACUUGCAUGCUCUCUUUCUCUAAAAUAAAUAAAUCUUUACAGAAAAAACUAGACAUGUUAAACAAUAUAAUGUGGUAAUUCUAGAUAACAGAUUCCUUUCUCAUCCCCAAAGGGCUUGCUUUUUUUUUUUUCUGUGUGAUAUUGUUAUUGUUUCUCUCCUGCUGAUUUUGCUGUUGUUUGCUCAGUGACUUUUCUGAAUUCUCUGAAGUUUGUAUUUUUGUCAUGUGUGGCUACUGAGAUCACCACUCAAUUAAAUUUGUGAUCAGCUACUUUUUAGACAAGGAUUUACUUAAAUACCUUGAACCAAUAUGUCUCCCAGACUUUGUCAAGGGAUCCUAUAUGCAUGUUGGGGCAAAAAUUCAAUGUUCUGGUGGACAGUUUACAACUCUGGCUUAGCCUUGACUUCUUCCUUGUGCAGAAGCUCAAGGUCAGCCAAAGGAAAGAUUAGGGCUCCCUUAUAUCUUUCCUGGGCAUGUGCACAUCUCUGCACAUACUCCCUAAACCAGACCCUAAAAGAAGUUCCAUUGUUAUAUGAAGAAGACACUGACGCAUCAUUAACAUAAAUUCUUAAAUGACCCAGAACUUAAUUUACUGCAGAUAUGUCCUUUACCAUAGCUAAUAUUUCUCUGCCUGGCUUUGAGUAAAUCAUGGUUUUAUGCUCACCAGAUCAAACUUCUCUAUGCAUAUUUUGUAGAUGAUUUAAAAACACAGCACCUAAUUCAAGCAUUAAAAGUCCAAAUGUUACAAAGGUUGCAUAUUUCAACAAAAUCUUAAAGAUGAUAGGAUCCAGGAAAUGCCAAAGUUCUUCCCUCUUCAAAUUAAAAUUCUAAACAAUUGUACAAAAGCUCCUCAGUUCAGCAUCUUCUGUAGCCCACUCCCCAGACAGAGAUUUUAUGGUCUUCAUAUAUGCUUAGCACAUAUAGCUCAUUUAGAGAAGGGCUUAUAUCACCAAAUACUUUGACUAUAUAGGUUAUUUCAGGGACCUUCCUAAGGGACAAUAAUUGAAUCUUUCCAGUGCUGCUUUCUUAUACAGAGAUCAUCCUAUAGGUGCUCUUCAUAAGGAUAUGAAAGAGUACA
This 1526-nucleotide long non-coding RNA is filed under the name Canis lupus familiaris (dog). Its description in RNAcentral is "lncRNA (ENSCAFG00845006542.1)". The record is from RNAcentral. Lineage: Eukaryota; Metazoa; Chordata; Mammalia; Carnivora; Canidae.